CUUGCAAUAUUUGUUCUAGAGUUUGCAUUUGUUUUUCAAUUCCUUGUGAUGGCCCUAUCUGGCUCUGCACCACCAUCACUUGUUUCUUCCUCGCCAGCUUUAAUUCAGCUAGGGCUGGAUCCUCUGAAUCGACGAGCUCUGAUACCAUGUUGUCAGGCCUUCUGGACAUAAGACCUAACUCACAAUCUCAGAGAAGGUUUUAAUUAGAGGGAACGAGAACAGAAUAUUGAAGAGAAGAGGAAGAGAGAAGAAUAACAGAGAAGAUUCAAGAAAGAGAGAAAAAGGGGGAGAGAAAAUAGAGAAAAUAUUAGGGAGAAA
RNAcentral lists this unclassified non-coding RNA (318 nucleotides) under Hevea brasiliensis (rubber tree). The record is from RNAcentral. Lineage: Eukaryota; Viridiplantae; Streptophyta; Magnoliopsida; Malpighiales; Euphorbiaceae.